AGCUCCAAUAGCGUAUAUUAAAAUUGUUGCAGUUAAAAAGCUCGUAGUUGGACGUCAGGUGAGGUGUGUCGGUGUGGUCUAUGAUCAUCUCCGUUCAUAUCUGCCUUUUUUAGCUGUUUGUCUUUCUAUGGUUCUCUUAAUUGAGUGCUUUAGAGAGCUCAGCACGUUUACCUUGAAAAAAUCAGAGUGCUCAAAGCAGGCCUUUGUGCUUGUAUGGUGUUGCAUGGAAUAAUGGAAUAGGACUUCGGUUCUAUUUUGUUGGUUUUCGGAAUCGAAGUAAUGAACAAUAGAGACAGUCGGGGGCAUCCGUAUGGCUGUGUUAGAGGUGAAAUUCUGAGAUCGCAGCCAGACGAACUACUGCGAAAGCAUUUGCCAAGCAUGUCUUCAUUAAUCAAGAACG
Molecule: ribosomal RNA, 400 nt
Filed under: phytoplankton environmental sample
Lineage: Eukaryota
Description: partial small subunit ribosomal RNA
Rfam family: Eukaryotic small subunit ribosomal RNA
Source: RNAcentral